This 490-nucleotide long non-coding RNA is filed under the name Homo sapiens (human). RNAcentral's name for it is "non-protein coding LINC00707:12". The record is from RNAcentral. Lineage: Eukaryota; Metazoa; Chordata; Mammalia; Primates; Hominidae.
AGACUGCCUGAGUCUUCUGACCUUCAUCUUUCCCCUGUGUUGGAUGCCUCCUGCCCUCAAACAUCAGACUCCAGGUUCUUCAGCUUUUGGACUCUUGGACCUACCCCCCGAGUGGUUUGCCAGGGGCUCUCAGGCCUUCGGCUACAGACUGAGGGCUGCAUUAUCAGCUUUCCUACUUUUGAGGUUUUGGGACUUUACUGGCUUUCUUGCUCCUCAACUUGCAGAUGGCCUGUUGUGGGACCUCACCUUGUGAUCAUGUGAGUCAAUACUCCUUAAUAAACUCCCUUUCAUAUAUGCAUCUAUCCUAUUAGUCCUGUCCUUCUAGAGAAUGCUAAUACAAUAUUUUUAAUUUUUAUAUCCCACAAUAAAACUCAGAAGUAGUUAAGUCAGGCUUAAAUGCAAGAGAACGGUUUAUAUUAAUUAUUGGCCAUAACCAACAAAAAAUUUCAGAAAAGUCAGUAUCAUCAUGCUGCCUUUAUCCAGCACUGAC